This is a long non-coding RNA of Aedes aegypti (yellow fever mosquito), 424 nucleotides long. RefSeq lists it as uncharacterized. The transcript is spliced from 3 exons. Lineage: Eukaryota; Metazoa; Arthropoda; Insecta; Diptera; Culicidae. The record is from RefSeq and is a predicted model, not a curated record.
GGAUUUCCAGACGAAUUGCUGCAAGUUUUCAAAGAAUGUGGAAUCACCCUUUACGAGCUAGUAUCGUACUCAUUUGAAGAGUUUUGUCAUAAAUGGGAACCAACGCCGAUUAGCUGGAGAUACGACGAGCAGUUCGACACUAUCCAAAAUUGGAGGGAGCGUAACAGAUUGUUUGUCGUGAAACCAACGUCUCUGGUUGAGGGAAACGCAUGCAAACAUGAAGUGAUUGAAAUUGAAAUAUUGAAAUAAUUGCAAGUAUAAGCACGUAUACGUAGAGCACAAAUGUGGCCCUUUUAACAAAUGUAAUUAGAAUGAGAACGAAUCAGUGCGCAUCGUACCUUCGUGCUGUGCGUACACGAAUUCUCUCUGCUCUUGGAAGUUUUCUUAAAAACUACCUAAAGCAAUAAAACAGUACUUUUCAGUG